Molecule: long non-coding RNA, 843 nt
Organism: Neodiprion fabricii
Lineage: Eukaryota; Metazoa; Arthropoda; Insecta; Hymenoptera; Diprionidae
Exons: 3
Source: RefSeq, a predicted model, not a curated record
AGUGCGACUUAGAACUUCGCCGGGAGCUUGCAAAAAUUUCUCGGAAAGAAAUGAGACCCCCGGUCUCAGAGAGGAGGAAAACUCGUCCCAGAGUACAUCGCACUUCCGGGAACUCCGGUAAUCCUUUGGACCGUUAACAAUUAGCUUCGUUAUUCUCGGAGGCUAGAAACCGCUAGUCUCUGCUCCUGUCGCACAAAAAUUUUUGCAAGCCAUAAUUCGCAACCAAGAAUCGCACGUUUGCCCAGCCGGAGUUAAACGUCCAGUCGAAAUGCAAGUCAGUCGCAGUUCGGGUUUCUCGGUGCCGACUUCGAGUCGCUUAUGCAGCAGUCGUUUAUAAAGAUGUUCGCUGGAACCGGAAACCGGAAGCCGUGCGUGAAAAUCUCCGUUGUGAUAAUGUGAUAACGCGAUUAGUGCCAGAAAAUCGAUCAAAUUUUUUCAAAACUCCAGUGCAGUGCGGUGAAGUGAGGUUCGCGAAUUUCUCCCGCGGCUGCUGCAACCGCGUGCAGAUUACUGCACGAGAUCGGAUUAGGUCACCGCUAUUUUAGCUUGGCCAGCUCGUAAACAAAUCCGGAAGUAAACAAAAUUACCUGAGAAUCCGAGAUGUAGAAAGCAACGAUGGCCCCGAAAAAGAAGCCCGACCGCAAAACUCCGAAGACCCGACCUUACAAAGUCUACUUGAUUUGCCUCGGAUCGUUGAAAACUUCUGGACCUGGGUCAGCUGUGUGGGCUUAGAGUCUUAAGCUCAGGAUUAAUCGCAAAAUAUACAGACUUGACACCAGUUCGUAACAUUUUUGUCCAUGAUGAAAAAUUGUUUGAUUAAUUAAUAAACGUUUGUAAAUUGUA